GAUGAAGAACGUAGUGAAAUGCGAUAAGUAGUGUGAAUUGCAGAAUUCAGUGAAUCAUCGAAUCUUUGAACGCACAUUGCGCCCCUUGGUAUUCCAUGCGGCAUGCCUGUUCGAGCGUCAUUUGUACCUUCAAGCUUUGCUUGGUGUUGGGUGUUUGUCCAUUCUCUUGCAGAGGGACUCGCCUUAAAGUAAUUGGCAGCCAGUGUUUUGGUUUUGAAGCGCAGCACAAGUCGCGAUUCAACGCUAUACGCCAGCUUCCACAAGCCUUUUUCACUUUUGACCUCGGAUCAGGUAGGGAUACCCGCUGAACUUAAGCAUAUCAAUAAGCGGAGGA
This 334-nucleotide unclassified non-coding RNA is filed under the name soil metagenome. RNAcentral's name for it is "partial contains 5.8S ribosomal RNA, internal transcribed spacer 2, and large subunit ribosomal RNA". The stretch from base 1 to 120 matches the Rfam family "5.8S ribosomal RNA", at positions 35 to 154 of the family's 154-position model. The record is from RNAcentral.